CGAUACGAGUUUGAUCAUGGCUCAGAACGAACGCUGGCGGCAUGCCUAACACAUGCAAGUCGAACGAACCAAGGCUUCGGCCUGAAGUUUAGUGGCGCACGGGUGCGUAACGCGUGGGAAUCUGCCCUUGGGUUCGGAAUAACUCAGAGAAAUUUGAGCUAAUACCGGAUGAUGACGAAAGUCCAAAGAUUUAUCGCCCAGGGAUGAGCCCGCGUAAGAUUAGCUUGUUGGUGAGGUAAGGGCUCACCAAGGCGACGAUCUUUAGCUGGUCUGAGAGGAUGAUCAGCCACACUGGGACUGAGACACGGCCCAGACUCCUACGGGAGGCAGCAGUGGGGAAUAUUGGACAAUGGGCGAAAGCCUGAUCCAGCAAUGCCGCGUGAGUGAUGAAGGCCUUAGGGUUGUAAAGCUCUUUUACCAGGGAUGAUAAUGACAGUACCUGGAGAAUAAGCUCCGGCUAACUCCGUG
This 468-nucleotide ribosomal RNA is filed under the name uncultured bacterium. RNAcentral describes it as "bacterial SSU rRNA". It matches the Rfam family "Bacterial small subunit ribosomal RNA", at positions 1 to 507 of the family's 1533-position model. The record is from RNAcentral.